Aethalodelphis obliquidens (Pacific white-sided dolphin) is the source of this 2591-nucleotide RNA transcript. It is a transcript of the gene named transformer 2 beta homolog, with no coding region annotated. The transcript has 10 exons. Lineage: Eukaryota; Metazoa; Chordata; Mammalia; Artiodactyla; Delphinidae. The record is from RefSeq and is a predicted model, not a curated record.
CGAGCGGAGGCGGUGCGGAGCGUUUCUCGUCUCAGCGGCUCGGGAACCAGUGCGUGCUGCGGAGCUGCGGCUGAGCCUCUAGGUAGAAGGCGCAAGAGGUUGGCAGCUUCGAUUGAAGCACGUCGGGCGGCGAGAGCAGCUAGAAGUCAUGAGCGACAGCGGCGAGCAGAACUACGGCGAGCGGGAAUCCCGUUCUGCUUCCAGAAGUGGAAGUGCUCAUGGAUCUGGGAAAUCUGCAAGGCAUACCCCUGCAAGGUCUCGCUCCAAGGAAGAUUCCAGGCGUUCCAGAUCAAAGUCCAGGUCCAGAUCUGAAUCUAGGUCUAGAUCCAGAAGAAGUUCUCGAAGGCAUUAUACAAGGUCACGAUCUCGGUCCCGCUCCCAUAGAAGAUCCCGUAGCAGAUCUUACAGUAGAGAUUAUCGAAGACGGCAUAGCCACAGUCAUUCUCCCAUGUCUACUCGCAGGCGUCAUGUUGGGAACCGGGCAAAUCCUGAUCCCAACUGUUGUCUUGGAGUAUUUGGAUUGAGCUUAUACACUACAGAAAGAGAUCUAAGAGAAGUGUUCUCUAAAUAUGGCCCAAUUGCUGAUGUGUCUAUUGUAUAUGACCAGCAGUCUAGACGUUCAAGAGGAUUUGCCUUUGUAUAUUUUGAAAAUGUAGAUGAUGCCAAGGAAGCGAAAGAGCGUGCCAAUGGAAUGGAGCUUGAUGGACGUAGGAUCAGAGUUGAUUUCUCUAUAACAAAGAGACCACAUACCCCAACACCAGGAAUUUACAUGGGGAGACCUACCUAUGGCAGCUCACGCCGUCGAGAUUACUACGACAGGGGUUAUGAUCGAGGCUAUGAUGAUCGGGACUAUUACAGCAGGUCAUACAGAGGAGGAGGUGGAGGAGGAGGAGGAUGGAGAGCUGCUCAAGACAGGGAUCAGAUAUACAGAAGACGGUCACCUUCUCCCUACUAUAGUCGUGGAGGAUACAGAUCACGUUCCAGAUCUCGAUCAUACUCACCUCUGACCUGCAAGGACCUUCACUAACCCCUCAACCCACCAGGUCUCUCCAACCUCAUCUUGCAACUUUCCUUUUGGAUACUAGAAGCAGGAGCUUCCUCAGCUUUAGUAAACGAGUAGAAAUUCCAACAAUAAGCCACUUGUGAAGAGGAGAGGAGCAAGGAGGAGGCAAGAUGGAGACAAGACUUGGAACUGAGUAUCUAUUAUGUUCUGCAUGUAAGGAAACUGGAAGUCACCACUCCAUCCUAACAAGUAAAAGCUGAACAACAACAAAAAGUCAACAGCUCUUUUUCCAUCUGUAAGAGAGGUAAGGUCAUAGGGCAAACUGCUGCCCCCCAAAUUGAAGAGAUGGGAAAAUACAUUGGAAUCUCAGCUUAGUGGAGUUGAAACCCACAAGCAGAAAUCUCUGCAAAAACCAUUCACCAGAGCAUUCUGUACCUCUUAAAGAUCUGGCCCCAGGAGAAACUAUUUAACCAGAGCCCAACAUGCUGGGAUUUUAUCAGAGCCUAGCUGACGUGGAAAAGGGAAAUACCCAACUCCAGCUUGCUCUAGCUAUCUUGUCCCACAUAAGAGGCCAGGAAUGGUGGUGGUGUGUCGGGGCAGGGGGCUCAGAAGCACUUGUGAAGUUUACAGGGCAGAGGCACAGACACACUAGAAGACUGACACUAAUCACAGGAGUAUAGAUGGUUUCCCCUCUACCCAUACCUUACCACCACAUUUCUAAAGGCUUACGGCAAUUCCUUAUAGCCAGUACAUUAUGUCCAGCUAAUGGGGGGAAAAAAAUACAAGGCGUAUUAAAAGGCAAAAGCCACAGUUCGAAGAGACAGUAGGCAUUAGAACCAGACUUAGAUAUGGCAGGGAUGUUGGAAUUAACAGACUGGGAACUUAAUUAAAACCACUGUUUAAUAUGCAAAGGGCUGUAAUGGAUAAAAUAGCAUGCAGGAACAGAUGGGCAGUGCAAGCAAAGAGAUGCAAACUAAGAAGAAAUCAAAAAGAAAUGCUAGACAUCAAAAACACUGCAGAAAUAAAAUGCCUUUACCAGAUAAUAAAACAGGACAUAGCUAAGAAAGGAAUUGCUGAGCUUAAGGAAUUCUCAAUAGAAACUGCCAAAACUGAAAGAAAAACACCAAAAACCCAAAAACUAAGACAACUGCAAAAGGUAUAGCUCAUAUAUAAUGGUAAUACUAAAAGAAGACGAACAGAAGAAAUAUUUUAAACAAUAAUGAUUGAGAAUUUACCCAAGUUAAUGUCUAUUGCAGACUGUGUUGCCCUCAGAAUAAUAUGUUGAAACUUCAUCUCUAAUGUCAUGUUAUUUGGAGCUUUGGCCUUUGGGAGGUAAUUAGAUCAUGAUGAUGGGGCCCUCAUAAAUGGGAUUAGACACCAGAGAGCUCCCUUGCUCCUUCCACCAUGCAAGCACAACAGUGAAUCAGGAGGUGGAUCUUCACCAGAUGCUGAAUCUGCCAGUGUCUUGAUCUUGGAUUUUCCAGCCUCCAGAACUAUAAGAAAUUUCUGUUUAUAAGCCAAUCCGGUUUAUGAUACUAUGUUAGAGCAGCCUGAACAGACUGGAUGCCAAAGCACAGAUCCAAAAAAC